GACAGAGGGGGCAAGCGUUAUUCGGAAUCACUGGGCAUAAAGGGCGCGUAGGCGGCUUCAUAAGUCAGGGGUGAAAUCCGGCAGCUUAACUGUCGCAGUGCCUUUGAUACUGUGGAGCUCGAGGGAGGUAGGGGUCUGUGGAACUUCCGGUGGAGCGGUGAAAUGCGUUGAUAUCGGAAGGAACGCCGGUGGCGAAAGCGACGGACUGGAUCUCUUCUGACGCUGAGGCGCGAAAGCCAGGGGAGCAAACGGG
Molecule: ribosomal RNA, 253 nt
Filed under: uncultured bacterium
Lineage: Bacteria
Description: partial 16S ribosomal RNA
Rfam family: Bacterial small subunit ribosomal RNA
Source: RNAcentral